Long non-coding RNA from Lolium perenne, 2053 nucleotides. RefSeq lists it as uncharacterized. The record is from RefSeq and is a predicted model, not a curated record. Lineage: Eukaryota; Viridiplantae; Streptophyta; Magnoliopsida; Poales; Poaceae.
CUGGCUCCAGCCUCCUGGCCCCACCUUCGCCUGCUCACUCCCGGCGGUGGACGGCGAGACCAACCGGCAGCGCGCGGCCAGGUUAUCCCCUAUGCCCUGUUCCUCUGCUGAUACUGUCCCUCUGAAUUGCUAGGUUCUGGGGAGGAGAGUGAUUUGGUGGGAUCAUCAAAAUGGAUUCCACUUUUUUCUGUCAUAAUCAGUGUGAGCCAUCCAGGACGACAUAAAAAGUGCUGGGUGGCUGGUUUGCUCCAAGGAGCCCUCGCUUUCUGGCCGUCUGGAUCGGUACCGGCCCCGGGUCGCGCGAGUCCUUCUGACAGCGAGCGAGAAGACGGGCACGUCACUCCCGUGCCCGGUGCGCUCCUCCAUCCAUUCCUCUGCUCCACCAGCGAGCGCCGCGCCGCGGCGCCCUUCUCCUUCCUCUGCUCCGCUGGCAAGCGCCGCCACGUCCCUCCACUUCCAUCGCUUCACCGGCGAACGCCACCGCGCGCCUCACCUUCCUGCCGCGCCAUGGCGAGGGACGCCCGCCCCUCACCCUUCCUCCUAGAUCCAGGCCUCGCAGCAUCCACUGCACGCCGCCCUGGCUCGGGGUAACAGCGAGGGUUUAACCGACGCGCUCCGAUCCCUUAGGCGACUGACGUUUUGACACCCCGACUGCCCGCGUCCCCGGAGAGCUGGCGUGUGUGGCGUCCCAGAUCCGGCUCGGCGAAUUCCGCCGCACCUCUUCUCCCUCGCAAGCUCUCCAGGCCACCUCUCGUCUCCUCUAGCUCGCAAGCUCACCGGCGACUGCCGAUCCGAGUUCCACGUCGAUGGGUGGGGUGGGGGGAUAGGGUGGACGGUGCUCACCACCAUGUGCCUCCCCCACCGCCGCCAUCGGGCCCGGCCAGCAUUGUACCUCUUCCAUCUUCCUGCGCUGCUCCUACCCUUGAUGUACCCCGUCAGUACCCAGAUGCAAGUGACGGACAUGUAGAGCUGGGCCUUGUGGCAGCGUGGAAAUCAGAGCUGGUUUGCUCGAGAGGAUGUUCAGCGCAUCCUCUGACGCAUCGACAACUUCAGCAGUGGUAAUGUGUUGAAUUUGGCUUGGAUUCCAUCAUCCUAAGACUAUGUCGUUGCCGCUUCACCAUGGUUUGGUUGACAAUGGUGGCUCAAGCACGGUAGCUGGACCUGGAGGAGAUGGUUCAUGGUGGAGCAUUUGCUUCUACCAGAUAGAGCUUGGUAUCCUAUACUUAGAAGCGGUGGAUCCCGGGCGGUGCAGCUAGUACCAUAUCAAGAACGGCGGUGGGGGAGGCCAUGGUGCCUACCUCGAGCCGGUGGUGGAGAGAACAAUGCCUAGUUUGAGCCAGUCGCAGCGCCCCCGAUGCCUAGCUCGAGCACUAGCUUGAGCCAACCAUUGCCCCCGACCAACGUGUAGGGCAUGUGAGGGCGAGGGGUCAGUGCAGGUGUCCCCAGUUCAAACUCAGUGGAAUAGUGAAGCACCAGGUCGCUGCCGGGACACCAGGUCGGCUUUGUCGGCGACGGCCUCAAGGACACACAGUAUACUAUAUAUGAAUGUGAUGAGGGCUGCCAAUAAAAAGCUCAAGGGGAUGAUGAAAACUGUCAAGAUCAAGGACAGUGAUGUACAUCAUAUUGCUUCUUCCCAUCUUAGUUAGUUGUUUGUACUUUCUCUGAGGGCACUACUUAUUAUCGUGUGCCUAUCACCCGCAGCCGCUGCCUUCCCCGCGUAGGAGCAACUUCCUUCGGUGUGGUGCCUGGAGGCGGCCACUGGCGGGUGUUUUUUUUUUCAAAUCCUCGGAACAAACAGACGAGACCUAUGUUGGGAUUAGGAGGUGGCUCUACCGUGGUUGACUUUCGCCUGGGCUCAAGCCUCCAAUGCUUAUCCUCUACCAUAUCCAUUUUCUGGAUUGUUGUGGUUUGUCCAAUCCUAAAUCUUAGUUGUAAGCGUGUAAGCAAAUGCCAAGGUUGAUUUAGUGUAGUUCAAAUUUUCCACUUGUGGGAUAGUAAGACAUGGAAAUCUGACCAUUUUCGAAUUUCUACCAGACAGCGCCGACGUUAGCUA